CUACGGGCGGCUGCAGUGAGGAAUAUUGCACAAUGGGGGGAACCCUGAUGCAGCAACGCCGCGUGGAGGAUGACGCAUUUCGGUGUGUAAACUCCUUUUAUAUGUCAAGAAAAUGACGGUAGCAUAUGAAUAAGCGCCGGCUAACUCCGUGCCAGCAGCCGCGGUAAUACGGAGGGCGCAAGCGUUACUCGGAAUCACUGGGCGUAAAGGACGCGUAGGCGGGUUGAAAAGUCAGGUGUGAAAGCCUACAGCUUAACUGUAGAACUGCACUUGAAACUCUCAAUCUAGAGUAUGGGAGGGGCAGAUGGAAUUAGUGGUGUAGGGGUAAGAUCCGUAGAUAUCACUAGGAAUACCUAAAGCGAAGGCGAUCUCCUGGAACAUUACUGACGCUAAGGCGUGAAAGCGUGGGGAGCAAACAGGAUUAGAUACCCUGGUAGUC
RNAcentral lists this ribosomal RNA (439 nucleotides) under uncultured bacterium. Its description in RNAcentral is "partial 16S ribosomal RNA". It matches the Rfam family "Bacterial small subunit ribosomal RNA", at positions 339 to 795 of the family's 1533-position model. The record is from RNAcentral.